UGGAGAGGUGGCAGAGUGGUCGAAUGCGCUCGACUUGAAAUCGAGUUUCCCGAAAGGGAACGGGGGUUCGAAUCCCUCCCUCUCCGU
This 87-nucleotide transfer RNA is filed under the name Chondrocystis sp. NIES-4102. RNAcentral describes it as "tRNA-Ser". It matches the Rfam family "tRNA". Rfam says of the family: Transfer RNA (tRNA) molecules are approximately 80 nucleotides in length. The record is from RNAcentral. Lineage: Bacteria; Bacillati; Cyanobacteriota; Cyanophyceae; Chroococcales; Chroococcaceae.